GGUUCUGUAGCACAGUUGGUUAGAGCGCUGCACCGGAAUCGCAGGGUCGUAGGUUUGAUUCCUGCCAGAGAGCCU
RNAcentral lists this transfer RNA (75 nucleotides) under Paramuricea clavata. RNAcentral's name for it is "tRNA-Ser". The stretch from base 4 to 69 matches the Rfam family "tRNA". Rfam says of the family: Transfer RNA (tRNA) molecules are approximately 80 nucleotides in length. Their secondary structure includes four short double-helical elements and three loops (D, anti-codon, and T loops). Further hydrogen bonds mediate the characteristic L-shaped molecular structure. tRNAs have two regions of fundamental functional importance: the anti-codon, which is responsible for specific mRNA codon recognition, and the 3' end, to which the tRNAs corresponding amino acid is attached (by aminoacyl-tRNA synthetases). tRNAs cope with the degeneracy of the genetic code in two manners: having more than one tRNA (with a specific anti-codon) for a particular amino acid; and 'wobble' base-pairing, i.e. permitting non-standard base-pairing at the 3rd anti-codon position. Lineage: Eukaryota; Metazoa; Cnidaria; Anthozoa; Malacalcyonacea; Plexauridae. The record is from RNAcentral.